Molecule: ribosomal RNA, 559 nt
Filed under: Bipolaris oryzae
Lineage: Eukaryota; Fungi; Ascomycota; Dothideomycetes; Pleosporales; Pleosporaceae
Description: eukaryotic LSU rRNA
Rfam family: 5.8S ribosomal RNA (bases 194-347)
Source: RNAcentral
ACCUGCGGAGGGAUCAUUACACAACAAAAUAUGAAGGCCUGGCUUUCGCGGCCGGCUGAAGUAUUUUUUUCACCCAUGUCUUUUGCGCACUUGUUGUUUCCUGGGCGGGUUCGCCCGCCACCAGGACCAAACCAUAAACCUUUUUUUCUUAUGCAGUUUCCAUCAGCGUCAGUAAAAACAAUGUAAUUAUUACAACUUUCAACAACGGAUCUCUUGGUUCUGGCAUCGAUGAAGAACGCAGCGAAAUGCGAUACGUAGUGUGAAUUGCAGAAUUCAGUGAAUCAUCGAAUCUUUGAACGCACAUUGCGCCCUUUGGUAUUCCAAAGGGCAUGCCUGUUCGAGCGUCAUUUGUACCUUCAAGCUUUGCUUGGUGUUGGGCGUUUUUUUGUCUCCCUCUUUCUGGGAGACUCGCCUUAAAACGAUUGGCAGCCGGCCUACUGGUUUCGGAGCGCAGCACAUUUUUUGCGCUUUGUAUCAGGAGAAAAGGACGGUACUCCAUCAAGACUCUACAUUUUUCACUUUUGACCUCGGAUCAGGUAGGGAUACCCGCUGAACUUAA